ACUUUUCCAAUUCAAUUGUGCUAAUGUGCCUUUCUGUUGAGUGACUUAGUACCAUUUUGGCUGCUGAGUGCUAUACUAUUAAGAAAUAAUUGCACUAUUCCGUUCAUUGCAAUAUUUGUUUAGUGAUUGUAACGAAAGUGAUACAUUGAUUCACCUUCACUCUUCAAUGUGCAUUUCACAAGUAAGAGAGAAUAGCAAGUCUAUUCCCUAAGUUAGUACGAGGAUGCACGAUGGUUGGCUAGGGAGAAUCUUGCAUAGAGUGAGCUGAGGGUCUGAACAUAGGACUCAGGUUCAAAGCUAGCGCUUGCGUCAUAACUAUCCCACUAGUUCAAAGCUAGCACAUGCUUUGUGACUAUCAACUAGCUAUUUUGAUCUCCAAAAUAUAGCUUUUGUGUGGAUGGAAUUCACAGUUCGCACAUGACUAGAUCUUUUAAACAUUCCCAAAUAAAUAGCGCAAAGCUUUAGAAUAGGUGAGUUUUUCGUUCCAAUAAAGAAAAAGAAAGCUGAGUUUUGUAUGGGCACCAUGUCUCUGGCAGCGUGAAAAAUGCUACAUUUUUGUCUUCAAGUGGCAGUCUCUUUUGGAAACAACAGUAAUAACAAAAUUAUUCUCCCAGUGGCAGUCUUUUGAGAA
Long non-coding RNA from Populus trichocarpa (black cottonwood), 631 nucleotides. RefSeq lists it as uncharacterized. The transcript has 2 exons. The record is from RefSeq and is a predicted model, not a curated record. NCBI's taxonomy places the organism in Eukaryota, Viridiplantae, Streptophyta, Magnoliopsida, Malpighiales, Salicaceae.